AGAGUUUGAUCAUGGCUCAGAUUGAACGCUGGCGGCAGGCUUAACACAUGCAAGUCGAGCGGAGAUGAGGUGCUUGCACCUUAUCUUAGCGGCGGACGGGUGAGUAAUGCUUAGGAAUCUGCCUAUUAGUGGGGGACAACAUUCCGAAAGGAAUGCUAAUACCGCAUACGUCCUACGGGAGAAAGCAGGGGAUCUUCGGACCUUGCGCUAAUAGAUGAGCCUAAGUCGGAUUAGCUAGUUGGUGGGGUAAAGGCCUACCAAGGCGACGAUCUGUAGCGGGUCUGAGAGGAUGAUCCGCCACACUGGGACUGAGACACGGCCCAGACUCCUACGGGAGGCAGCAGUGGGGAAUAUUGGACAAUGGGGGGAACCCUGAUCCAGCCAUGCCGCGUGUGUGAAGAAGGCCUUAUGGUUGUAAAGCACUUUAAGCGAGGAGGAGGCUACUGAGACUAAUACUCUUGGAUAGUGGACGUUACUCGCAGAAUAAGCACCGGCUAACUCUGUGCCAGCAGCCGCGGUAAUACAGAGGGUGCGAGCGUUAAUCGGAUUUACCGGGCGUAAAGCGUGCGUAGGCGGCUUUUUAAGUCGGAUGUGAAAUCCCCGAGCUUAACUUGGGAAUUGCAUUCGAUACUGGGAAGCUAGAGUAUGGGAGAGGAUGGUAGAAUUCCAGGUGUAGCGGUGAAAUGCGUAGAGAUCUGGAGGAAUACCGAUGGCGAAGGCAGCCAUCUGGCCUAAUACUGACGCUGAGGUACGAAAGCAUGGGGAGCAAACAGGAUUAGAUACCCCGGUAGUCC
Molecule: ribosomal RNA, 794 nt
Filed under: uncultured bacterium
Lineage: Bacteria
Description: bacterial SSU rRNA
Rfam family: Bacterial small subunit ribosomal RNA
Source: RNAcentral